AAAUAUGACCCAAAAUCCACUCCUCACUUGGACACUGCUCUGGUUAUGAUGGCUGACAAGAAGAUCCUGGUGGUUGCUGGUAAUGAUUUACUGAUUCAGUCCGUAGUCUGUUCUUUCCACUCAACUGAACAUCUGUUCUGAUAGGCUUGUCUUCCUCUAAUAAGGAGCCUGAAUUUAGAAGGUGAUGAUAUGAGAAAACACCAAAUAUUCAGAAGCCAUCCAGGCCUGCUUUGGAUGUCUUUUGGGACAAGAGAGCAUGUGAGGGUAUAUCCAGGCUGCAAAUAGCACUGAAGAUGUCAUCUCUGUGGCUGUUCUACGUUCUACUUCACUCCCAAAGACCAUGAAUUACUUCAAAAUAUGCCUGAUCUGAUUUUUUUCUAAAGUACUGGGCAGCUGUGCAAACAAUAUUAAAACAGAAAAAAUAUUUUGUGCCAUGCACUGCCUUGAUUGUACACGCCCUUAAAAUAGGAAACAUAGACUCUUUCUAAAAAAUACAGUUAUAUCAAGACCUGCUUUUUAAAUAUCCGUAAUGUAUUAUUACCUUUUGUGUUUCUGUUCAGUAAGUAUUACAUUCACUGAGAGUGAUUUGACCAACAAUAAAAACAA
Molecule: long non-coding RNA, 606 nt
Filed under: Homo sapiens (human)
Lineage: Eukaryota; Metazoa; Chordata; Mammalia; Primates; Hominidae
Description: HSALNT0272025
Source: RNAcentral